This 254-nucleotide ribosomal RNA is filed under the name uncultured bacterium. RNAcentral's name for it is "partial 16S ribosomal RNA". It matches the Rfam family "Bacterial small subunit ribosomal RNA", at positions 524 to 776 of the family's 1533-position model. The record is from RNAcentral.
UACGUAGGGCGCAAGCGUUUGUCCGGAAUUAUUGGGCGUAAAGAGCUCGUAGGCGGCCAGUUGCGUCUGCUGUGAAAUCCCGGGGCUCAACCCCGGGCGUGCAGUGGAUACGGGCUGGCUAGAGGCAGGCAGGGGAGAACGGAAUUCCCGGUGUAGCGGUGAAAUGCGCAGAUAUCGGGAGGAACACCGGUGGCGAAGGCGGUUCUCUGGGCCUGUACUGACGCUGAGGAGCGAAAGCGUGGGGAGCGAACAGG